UACGGAGGAUCCGAGCGUUAUCCGGAUUUAUUGGGUUUAAAGGGUGCGUAGGCGGAAAUGUAAGUCAGUGGUGAAAUCCCGCAGCUUAACUGUAGAAUAGCCGUUGAAACUGUGUUUCUUGAGUACAUUUGAGGUAGGCGGAAUGUGGUGUGUAGCGGUGAAAUGCAUAGAUAUACCACAGAACACCGAUUGCGAAGGCAGCUUACUAAACUGUCACUGACGCUGAUGCACGAAAGCGUGGGUAUCAAACAGGAUUAGAUA
RNAcentral lists this ribosomal RNA (261 nucleotides) under uncultured prokaryote. Its description in RNAcentral is "partial 16S ribosomal RNA". It matches the Rfam family "Bacterial small subunit ribosomal RNA", at positions 524 to 784 of the family's 1533-position model. The record is from RNAcentral.